AACGANCACUGGCGGCGUGGAUUAGGCAUGCAAGUCGAACGAGAAAGUUUCCUUCGGGAAACGAGUACAGUGGCGAACGGGUGAGUAACGCGUGGGAAACCUGCCCUACAAUGGGGGAUAACAGUUCUAACGAGCUGCUAAUACCGCAUACGACCUUUGGAACGCAUGUUUCGAAGGUGAAAGGUGGCCUCUCUUUGAAGCUGCCGUUGAAGGAUGGUCCCGCGUCCCAUUAGCUAGUUGGUGGGGUAAUGGCCUACCAAGGCGACGAUGGGUAGCCGGCCUGAGAGGGUGUCCGGCCACACUGGGACUGAGAUACGGCCCAGACUCCUACGGGAGGCAGCAGUCGAGAAGCUUCCGCAAUGGGCGAAAGCCUGACGGAGCGACGCCGCGUGAGUGAAGAAGGCCCUAUGGGUUGUAAAACUCUGUCAGAUUGGGAAGAAAAUUCUACGGUUAAUACCCGUGGAACUUGACGGUACCAUCAGAGGAAGCACCGGCUAACUCCGUGCCAGCAGCCGCGGUAAUACGGAGGGUGCAAGCGUUGUUCGGAAUUACUGGGCAUAAAGGGCGCGUAGGUGGUCAGAUAGGUCAGUGGUGAAAGCCCUCGGCCCAACCGGGGAAUUGCCUCUGAAGCCAUCUGACUAGAGUGCAAGAGGGGAGAGUGGAACUCGAGGUGGAGCGGUGACAUGCGUAGAUAUCUCGGGGAACGCCGGUGGCGAAAGCGACUCUCUGGUUUGCAACUGACACUGAGGCGCGAAAGCUAGGGGAGCGAACGGGAUUAGAUACCCCGGUAGUCCUAGCCGUAAACGAUGAGCACUUGGUAGAGGGGGUUCCAAGACCAUCUCUGCUGUAGCUAAUGUGUUAAGUGCUCCGCCUGGGGAGUACGGUCGCAAGGCUGAAACUCAAAUGAAUUGACGG
This 915-nucleotide ribosomal RNA is filed under the name uncultured bacterium. RNAcentral describes it as "bacterial SSU rRNA". It matches the Rfam family "Bacterial small subunit ribosomal RNA", at positions 28 to 916 of the family's 1533-position model. The record is from RNAcentral.